UUGCGGUGUAGGAGUGAAAUCCGUUGAUAUCGCAAGGAACACCAAAGGCGAAGGCAUUGCGCUAGGCUACAGCUGACCCUGAGAGACGAAAGCGUGGGGAGCAAAACGGAUUAGAUACCCGUGUAGUCCACGCCGUAAACGAUGGAUACUAGAUGUCCGGGGAUUCGACCCCCUGGGUGUCACAGCUAACGCGUUAAGUAUCCCGCCUGGGAAGUACGGCCGCAAGGCUAAAACUCAAAGGAAUAGACGGGGAUCCGCACAAGCGGUGGAGCGUCUGGUUUAAUUUGACAGUAAGCAAUGAACCUCACCAAGGUUUGACAUCCUACGACAACCCUGGAAACAGGGCUUUCUUCGGACGUAGUGACAGGUGCUGCAUGGUCGUCGUCAGUUCGUGCCGUGAGGUGUUCCGUUAAGUCGGGAAACGAACGAAACCCUCGUUGUAUGUUAUAAUUUUCAUACGAGACUGCCCGGGUCAACCGGGAGGAAGGCGAGGAUGACGUCAGAUCAGCAUGGCCCUUAUGCCUUGGGCGACACAGGCGCUACAAUGGCUGGUACAAAGGGUUGCUAAGCCGCGAGGUGGAGCUAAUCCCAUAAAACCAGUCUCAGUUCGAAUUGAAGGCUGCAAUUCGCCUUCAUGAAGUUGGAAUCGCUAGUAAUCGUGGAUCAGCCAUACCACGGUGAAUAUGUUCCCGGAUCUUGUACUCACCGCCCGUCACACCAAGAGAGUUGGUAGCUCCUGAAGCGUCGCAUCAAAGCGGCACCACGGAGA
This 769-nucleotide ribosomal RNA is filed under the name uncultured bacterium. RNAcentral's name for it is "bacterial SSU rRNA". It matches the Rfam family "Bacterial small subunit ribosomal RNA", at positions 668 to 1465 of the family's 1533-position model. The record is from RNAcentral.